Molecule: small RNA, 2302 nt
Filed under: Vigna angularis var. angularis
Lineage: Eukaryota; Viridiplantae; Streptophyta; Magnoliopsida; Fabales; Fabaceae
Description: Non-protein coding transcript
Source: RNAcentral
AUCAGUAAACAAUAUAUAAGUAUUAUUAUCCACUCAAUAGUUGAACAGAAAAAUAAUGUUUUACAAUCUAUUCACAUCUAAUUCACAAGUAUAACAGAUUAUUAUUGUAAAUAACUACAAUGGCUUCCCCGGAUAAAAGUGACCUCAUCAAUGCCAUCAAGAUGACGAGUAAUUUAAUUACACAUGAUCACCAAUCCUGCAGAUAUACAUGAUUUACUUUUAUUUUUGACCUAAGUACCUUGUUAAUCAGUGAAUUUGCUCCCCCGGUAUAAUGGCAAAAGUACAAAUUACAAGGUUUUUAGGAGAUCACCAAGCUUAUCUAAUAUGAAUGGACAUAUAUGUUUAUAUAUAUAUAUAUGUGGAGGUGCUGAUUCCAAUGAUGAGUGGCUAGCAGCCAAUGGGAUCCUCAGAAGACUUUGAAAAAGGGAAAGAGAGAGCACUUAUUGGAUAUUUGAAAAAUCAAGAAAGGGAAAGGAUGAAACAUCGUUCAUCAACUCCUCCAAGUCCCACUCUCCCAUGGUGCUCUCCACUUUCAGGUUAUGGUCAGAAGUAGUGCUAACACUCUCUAGAGGAGGAACAUACAUAUCCCCUUCUGCCCCAAUAUUUACACUCCCAAAUACUCCUCCAUUUUCCAAAUAUAAACCUUUGUGAUCAACUCCACUUUGCGUUGAGAAGCAUGGCCCUGUAGCAUUGAAGAAUCCACCGGAAACUGGCACGUUUAGUCCAUGAUCUAGCAUAGGCAACCUGUCAAUAAUGGAAUUGAGAACUGUGGCAUGCAUGGAUGGUGAUGGAGAUGAUGAUGAAUUGAACAUAGGCAUAAAAUCAGCAUGUUGAUCUUGAUGGGUAUUAGAAGUAGUAAACCCUGCCAUGUUAAGGUCUUUGUUAGGCUCAUACGAGGACUCGCUUCCGUUUGGUGAGGUGUUGGAUGAGAUGUUCUUCAGUCUUUUCUUUAUUGUUGAAUUCCAAAAAUUCUUAAUUUCAUUGUCAGUUCUCCCAGGCAAGCGCGCCGCUAUUUGAGACCAUCUUUAAAAAGUGGAACAAAAUGAAUAUUUGUCAGGUUAAUACAUGGCACAAACUAAUUGUGUUUGGUGGCUGUGUCCAUACUAAAAACAGUGCAUGCUUUCAUGGAGGCUAAUGUAUAUGUAGUCUUUUGUUAAGUUGAUUCAAAUUAUAGAGUGCCUUCAACUCGAAGUCCACAUAUAGAUUUAUGUUAUGUUCAUAUGUCCUUUUGUCAUCUACAAGGAGCUGCCUAGACUUAUAAAUAUGUAUGUAUAUUAUAUUUAUGCAUGUUUUGUGCAUGUAUUUUUUAACUUUGAAUACUGGUGCCAUUUCUUAGACAAGGGGAAGUAGAUUUUAGCAACCAGAGACUUAAUGAAAACAUUUUAAAAUCUUGUCGAUCAUAUUGUAAAGGCUAGGUAUCUUAGAAUUGCUACUGUUUCAAAUAGUAAGUUUGGAAUGGUAUAUAUGCAUAUGUGUGAACUUUCUUGCAUACUUUUAGAUACAGCCAUAAAGGCAAUUUUUUUAUAGGAGAUUUUGGCACAUGGCAUUUGAUUAUUCUUCAUAAAUUUUCAUUUAUAUUGACCCCAUCCAAUGGCUGCACCAAGUAAAUAAUUUUGAAACAUUAAUCAUGUCUCUAUCGUGCUUUCCACCUUUCCAAUAAAGACAAUAUAGCUAAAGUUAGAAGGAGCUAGUGGGUGUAACAUGUCAAACAUUGAUUUGCUUGAUAAAUAUUUGAGACGUAUGCGUACAUAUACACGCUGGUAUAAGUAUGUUUGGAUUCAGAAAUACAUAAUACACGUACAAAAAGUACUACAGAAGUUCUUUAAGAUCAUAUAUAUAGAAUCAAGUUUAAAAUGCAUUAUGGCAUAUUUCAGUUAAUAACAGCACUUGGUAAUUCUAAUGAUAUAUACUUUGAUCAGUUCAAAUUAAACAUGGCAUAGAAAAGAAGGAAGAGUAGGUGAACCUGUUUCCGAGAAGGGCAUGCAAAUGGACGAUGAGUUCCUCUUCUUGUGGAGAGAAUGCACCUCGUUUGAGAUCAGGCCUCAAGUAAUUGAUCCAUCGAAGGCGACAACUUUUGCCACACCUUUGAAGGCCAGCAUUUCUGGCUACAUCGCUCCAACAACCUUGUCCACUGUUUAGCAUGUAGUUCAUGAGCUUGUCAUCUUCUUCAGGUGACCACAAGCCCUUUCGAAGCUUGUUAUUAAUGUUGGAGCUGUUUUUUGCAGACACCUCGGGCUUCCUCAUUGUGCACUACUGUAUGAUCCGGACCCCAGAAGCAGUGUUCCACUGAUGAGCAAUUUGC